RNAcentral lists this ribosomal RNA (464 nucleotides) under uncultured bacterium. RNAcentral describes it as "partial 16S ribosomal RNA". It matches the Rfam family "Bacterial small subunit ribosomal RNA", at positions 28 to 507 of the family's 1533-position model. The record is from RNAcentral.
GACGAACGCUGGCGGCGUGCUUAACACAUGCAAGUCGAACGGAAAGGCCCUGCUUGCAGGGUACUCGCGUGGCGAACGGGUGAGUAACACGUGGGUGAUCAGCCCUGCACUUCGGGAUAAGCCUGGGAAACUGGGUCUAAUACCGGAUAGGAGCCAUUUUUAUUGUGAUGGUUGGAAAGUUGUUUCGGUGUGGGAUGAACUCGCGGCCUAUCGGCUGGUUGGUGGGGUAAUGGCCUACCAAGGCGGCGACGGGUAGCCGGCCUGAGAGGGUGGACGGCCACAUUGGGACUGCGAUACGGCGCAGACGCGUACGGGGGGCAGCAGUGGGGAAUAUUGCGCAAUGGGCGGAAGCGUGAGGCAGCAACGCCGCGUGCGGGAUGACGGCGUUCGGGUUGUAAACCGCUUUGGCCUGUGAAGAAGCGUGAGUGACGGUAAUGGGUAAGGAAGCACGGGCUAACUACGUG